UNUUACAAUCUUAUGUAGAUAGUGAAAGGC
RNAcentral lists this non-coding RNA (30 nucleotides) under Rattus norvegicus (Norway rat). Lineage: Eukaryota; Metazoa; Chordata; Mammalia; Rodentia; Muridae. The record is from RNAcentral.